RNAcentral lists this small nucleolar RNA (144 nucleotides) under Castor canadensis (American beaver). RNAcentral's name for it is "Small nucleolar RNA SNORA1 (ENSCCNG00000004432.1)". Lineage: Eukaryota; Metazoa; Chordata; Mammalia; Rodentia; Castoridae. The record is from RNAcentral.
UGCCUCAUUCCAGAGAGAGGCCACUGUCUGACAUGAUGGUGUGCUCCUAAUCUGGUCUCAAGUGGGCUAAAUUUAGGAACACAAAGUCAUGCUUCCAUCACAGUAAAUGGCAUUGCAGUUGUGACAAUGAGAUCUGUAACAUUU